GGAUAGCUCAGUUGGUGGGGUUAUGAGACUCUUAAUCUCAGGAUUGUGGGUUCAAACCUCACGUUGGCCA
Molecule: non-coding RNA, 70 nt
Organism: Podarcis lilfordi (Lilford's wall lizard)
Lineage: Eukaryota; Metazoa; Chordata; Lepidosauria; Squamata; Lacertidae
Source: the annotation of a GenBank genome assembly